AAAUUUGGUGUAGUGAAUAGU
This 21-nucleotide microRNA is filed under the name Rehmannia glutinosa. Its description in RNAcentral is "rgl-miR7805-5p". Lineage: Eukaryota; Viridiplantae; Streptophyta; Magnoliopsida; Lamiales; Orobanchaceae. The record is from miRBase by way of RNAcentral.